Long non-coding RNA from Symphalangus syndactylus (siamang), 9534 nucleotides. RefSeq lists it as uncharacterized. The record is from RefSeq and is a predicted model, not a curated record. Lineage: Eukaryota; Metazoa; Chordata; Mammalia; Primates; Hylobatidae.
AUGAGGCCAGGCUCUUUCACAGCUGGCAUUUGAUGAGAAAAGGGAAUUGAAAUGUAGGUGAUUGAUUUGGACCUGGAGAAGCUGAUUGGAUGUCACCCUGUUCUUCCCGACAAUGGGGACCGGUCUGUGCAAAGGGGACUUCCUGUGACCCCUGCGGGUCCACCGGAAGUUCUGAUUUCUCCCCGUGGAAUAGGGGCGCGAAGGCUGCCCUGUCACACACGGCCCAAGAGAUUGAUUACCUGGGCUCUGGCAGCCUCUCUGGGUGGCCUACCUGUUUGGGUGGUCCAGACCUCCACGCCUGAGAGGCUGAGCCCUUGGUCAUCACGUCCUCCUUUGGCUGUGGCUGCUGCUCUUGUCCAUUCACCAUCAAAUAUGGAUGAAAGAGUCCAAGGCGACACCUUGAUGGAUCUCCUGAGUGCCGAAGGGAGUCUUCUCUGCCCCCAUUGUGCAGUAGCUUCAUCCUCCUGAGAAUCCCCCUGCGAUUCCCCAGGAGUCCUUAAUUCCUCUCAGCACCGUUUAAGAUGAGCAACUACACAAGACAAAGACGAAAGAGUUUUUCAGCUCAAAAAUCCUGUGAUUCUUUGAUUCUAAGAAGUGAUUUUCUUACAAGGAGUUUGCCUAAGUGUCCACACGGCUUGUCUCCUCCCAGCGGCCGGCCUGCCGGUGUGUGUGCUGUGUGUGGAGAGGGGCCUUAGGCCUGUGCUGUGAGUGAUGUCUGCAGAGCAUGGGGUUGAUUUGGAAGAAGGUGUGAUCCGAAGUUGUGUUUGACCUCAGCUCCUGUCACCCCUGAAGGCAGCAGAGGAUCUCCUUUCUGAAGGAGGACAGGAGGACAGCUUCCUGAAGGACAUUCUGCCCAUUGCACAGAGGGGCUUCCAUGAUUGGUUUGGCCUGAUGUGACUUUUUUCCCCACCUUUGAAGGCCUAGAUUGGGUUUCCCAUUUCUUGGCUCUUUGGAAGGGCCAAUGGCUCCCUGUUUGACAGGCUGCACUGAGCAGCAGGUGCUCCAUUUAGACCCAGGCUGCCCCAAUCCCAGCUCUGAUCUAUCUCUCAGCUCUGAGGCUCCAUUGAGUCCCUGGGCCUCAGGGACCCUGUUCAGCCUUUGCUGAUGGUGGCAUCAAGUGACCUCUGAGCCACCUCCACGUUGGCUCUGACUGAGGAAACUGGUGGUCUUGUCUUGCCGUUUGCAAUACCUGAAGACAAAAACAGAACUUGUGCUGCAUUCUCAAGAAAGAAGAGACAACUGUUCCUGUACCUCACUCUUGUAGAUAUCUGUAUGAAGAAGCAGUGAUGGGUGCAUGCAGGCUAGGGAGCAUCAAGGCUUCCACGGCAUGGGCGCCAGCUGACCCCUGACCUCGUUUUCAUCUAUUGCUCCAGUCGUGGCUCUGAGAUCUGGGCAACCUGAGCCAGCUCGUGCAUUGCUUACCCUUAUGCUUUUGCACUGUCCAUCCCUGUCCCCUAGAACUCCCUCCAGUACAGUGCCCCACCCCAUCCCAUGCCAUCUCAUCUCACCCCAUCCCACCUCACUCCAUCGCAUCGCCUCAUCCCACCCCAUCCCAUCCCGUCUCACCUUACCCCAUCCCAUCCCAUCCCAUCCUACCCUAUCCUACCCCACCCCAUCCCAUCACCCCAUCCCAUCCUAUCCCAGCCUUUCCCAUCCCAUCCCACCCCAGCCCAUCCCAUCCGAUCCCAUCCUGCCCCAUACCAGCCCAUCCCACCCUAUCCCACCCCAUCCCAUCCCAUCCCACCCCAUCCCAUCCCAUCCCAUCCCAUCCCAUCCCAUCCCAUCCCAUCCCAUCCCACCCCAUCUCACCCCAUCCCACCUCAUCCAAAAGUAUGUGUUCUUGGGCUGCUACUGAACCUCUUACCUUCUGUCUUCUCACCUAUAAAAGGCGAAUUGGCAAGGUCAUCCCCUUUGGCAGGUAAGUAAAUGCAGAGGACAUAGUCCACGUUAAAUAAAUGACAGCGACUGCUGUUUUGCUGGUUGUCACGCCCAUGAGCAAGGCAGUACCUGUUCUCCCCACCAAGGACAAGCCAACCCUGCUACCCAGGUCCUGCUCAUGUCCUGAGCUCCUUAUACCUGCCACCAGAUUUUGUUUUAUAUCCUACCUGGGUUUCAGGAGAGAGAAUUUAAAAAAUCAAAUUAGGUAAAAUUGGAGUUAAAUGAUAAUGAUAACUUCUCAGCUACUUCAACCUCAGUUUCUGCCCUUUUUGAACUUGCCAAGGAGUGGAGGUAUCUUAACAGGCCCACUCUGUGACUGUUACCACUGUUCUCAUUUUAAUGCAGCUAUUUGUGUACUAGGUGCCUCUCUCCCAUGAAGCUAUGAACUACUUAAAGCACAAUGCGGAAAGGAAAGAAGGAAGGCAGGAAGGAAGGAAGGAAGGAAGGAAGGAAGGAAGGAAGGAAGGAAGGAAGGAAGGAAACAAGGCAGGCAGGAAGGAAGGCAGGCAGGAAGGAAUAAUUAAUGAAUAAUACUGCAUUCAGGAAACUAGACCCAGUAUUUUCAAAGUGACUCAUACCCAGCCAUCCUCUCCUUUGCCAGUUAGCAUUGAUAAUCUUCAAUUGCUCAACCACUUGUUUCUUUUAAUUUUAACAAUCUUACAGCUGAAGCUAUCUAAGAUUUAUUCAGGAGAAUAUAUUUUAUAACACUUCCUUUUUCCUAUAAACAUUGAAGGAAGGUUCGUGAUAUGGACCCUUGGCUGAAAUUUGAAGGUGAAAAAGGACUGCUCUGUUCCUAUUUAUGGUAUGGGAAUGACUUUCCUUCACCACUAGCCUGGGUGAAAUUUAAUGACUGACCAAGAGGGAAGUAAUUCAUUCUUCCUGUCAUCCUAUUUUAUUCCCCUGCCCCCUUUCCUUGUGCUCUCUUUCCCUGCUCAGUUCCUAUUAUGAUCUUUCUUUGUCAAAUAUGUUUCUCAUGAUUAAGUGCUUAUAUCUUCUUCUCCCCAGCAUAUUUGUUUGGAUAGAUUUAGGACAGAGAAAAAUGCUGAAAAUUGCCUGGUUUCUGUUUUCUUUAGAGAGAAAACCCUGAAAGAUUUUUAGCUAAUGGCAUUUGACCAGUUUUGAUCACUGUAAGAUUCUCUGGCUUUUAGUUCUAUAACCCUCCAGAAGUCUAGACCUUUUUGAUAUUAAAGAAAACAUGCACAUUUUGAGUGAGCUACUAAGUUCCAUCUAGUUGUUUCCAUUUUACAGAGACUAAGGACAGGGGACCAUUCAGAAGGCACAUAAGGAAACAAAUGGGACUUUGACCCAGAGACUGGACCCUGAGUGUGUAUGAAAUAGGAGGUGAUGGUGUUAUUAAGAAUUUCUUGCUUUGAGCUAGUUUCAUUACGGGUGAAGUCUGUACUUGAAGUUCCUCUCCUAACCUAACGAUGGUUGCAGGUGGGGCCAAAGUUAAUGGAGAACCUGGACUAACAGCCUCACCACCUUGGGUCACUUUCAGUAACCACCAGGCCUACCUGGAAGUGCAACUCUGGGUCAUGUGGAAGUGAAAACUGCAGUGGUAGACAUCCAGUGUCUAUUCUGGGGGUUCUGACUUGGUUCUCCGCUUACCUAUCUGAAGGGCUGGCUUGGCAUGGACUUAUUUAGUGUCUUUCUUUAUGGAACUCAAAAAGCCUUUAUAUGUAGCCUUGUCUUUCAGUUGUCCCAAGAAGCUCUAUUGGCAUUAGAAGCAAAGGUAUCUGCAACUAAAGUUUUCCAUAAUUUGCAUUUUUGUCCCAAGUUUUAUGGCCUUUGGCAGAACGUCACUGAGUCCUGGUCUUAUGGCCAGAAUACCUGAGUCUUAAAAUCUGAGACCAGGGGCUUCUGAUCAGAUGGGCCUGGGCCCCUGGCUCAAAUCUUACCUGCUUUACCAGCAAUAGAUGGCAACUCCUGCCCCCUUUCUCCUCUGUCCUUCAGAAAGGGCAGGAGCUGAAGUUGAAAGAGCUGAAAAGCUAUGAAGAUUUGUCAAAUGCUUUUAUUUUUUUCCAAUUCUGGUUUUUUAAUUAUCUCUUAUGAGGUCCAGUUAAAACAUAAUGCAGGUUCGGUCACUUCCGCUUGGAAAUCUCAGCCAUGAAGGAACUGGGAAGGUGCUCAAUAGCCACUAUUAACAGUUGUUCCUUACAACCACAUGGUGGCACUGCUGAAGAUCUGUCCUGCACAGCCCGGUGAACACACAUCCAUUGUAUUGAUGCCCUUGUUUUCUCCAUUUCUGCACAAGCUGAGAUCGUGGUCUAUGGGUGGCCUCCCAGCAUACAGUUCCCACAGUUCAUAUAGAUAGGCUUAGCAAAGCUUUCCCUGCCACAGGACACAGUGCUUGGGUGGCUAUGUUUAGGAGUUACCAGCACAAGCUAUGUUGGGAGCAGCCCUUCUCAACAAGACUUCAGGCCUUGUAUUGAGUCCAAGCCAGCAAAUAAACUCUCUGUGACUUCCUGAUCAAUUCCUCCUGGGAAUCUUGGGACAGGGACAUGAUUAGUCUUAACAGAUUCUCAAUUUUGAAUGUCUGGGUCUGUCUUUUUUUUUUCCUAAUAGGCUUUUGGCUUCUUCUACAAAUUUUUCAACUCCCAUCUUCUGUGGCCAGUUCUUCAUACCCAGGGGAGGAGAUAUUUGCUUUUGUUCUACUAUAAAAUGUUCAUUAGAUCACCAACCCCUAUCCAUCACUGCAGCCACACUUACACAACACUUCUUUGUCAGAAUGGAUGUACCAAGUUGCUUCAAAACCCAUCUUCUUUGUUCAACGAAGAGUUAAGUGGUUGGUGAGGAGCAAACAGUUUUUGGCAUUCCGCUACAAAAGACUCACAACCACUUAAAAAACUUUUUAUUUUUAAUUUUUUUGAGACGGAGUCUCACUCACUCUGUUGCCCAGGCUGCAGUGCAGUGGCGCAAUCUCGGCUCACUGCAAUCUCCGCCUCCUGGGUUCAAGUGAUUCUCCUGCCUCAGCCUCCCUGAGUAGCUGGGAUUACAGGUGUUUGCCACCACUCCCAGCUAAAUUUUUGUAUUUUUAUUAGAGACGGAUUUCACCGUUUUGGCCAGGCUGGUCUCGAACUCUUCAUCUCAAGUGAACCAUCCGCCUUGGCCUCCCAAGGUGCGGGGAUUACAGGUGUGAGCCACUGCACCUGGCCACGACCAUUUAGAAAAUGGUUUGAAUAUAGCAUUCAUGAUCUGUGGGCUAUGGAAACCUUAGUCUCACUACAAACUAUUCAAUAUAAGAAAGUCUCACUAGUUGUCUGGGCGAGGUGGUUUAUGCCUGUAAUGCCAGCACUUUGGGAGGCCGAGACAGGUGGAUCGUCUGAGGUCAGGAAUUCGAGAUGAACCUGGCUAACAUGGUGAAACCCCCGUUUCUACUAAAAAUACAAAAAAUUAGCCAGGUGAGGUGCUGUGCACCUCUAAUCCCAGCUACUUGGGAAGCUGAAGCAGGAGAAUCGCUUGAACCCGGGAGGUGGAGCUGAGAUUGCAUCAUUGCACUCCGGCUUGGCCAACGAGUGAAACUUCAUCUCAAAAAAAAAAAAAAAAAGAAAGUCUCACAGGUCAUUUACUGGUACAUUGACCUAUAGUUCUAAAAUUCGAAAAGUGGUUUCUAAAAUGUAAGCAUUUUAUUUCAGAAAAAUAAAUUCUUCAAAAUUUGGGGGAAUAUUUUUUAAAUGAUUUUAACAUUUCUAUUAUUAAGUAAUCUAUGUUAAACAUAAUUUUUAAAAAGUGUUAAAAUCAUGACUUAUACAAACAUGAAUGAAUGGCUAUCAAAGCUUUACUUUAACUCAUUUAUUAAUAAAAGAACCAGUAAGAUAUUACUACCAGUUCAAAAGAGAAUUUAAAAUAUACAUACAUAGGCAAUCAGGGACACUGAAGUGAAUUUACAAAUAGACACAAAACAGGUCAAUAUUCCAGGAGAAGUAACCAAGUCCAUCACCACCAAACAAAAUUUGCAUUUCUGUGGACACAGAUCACCUGCAUUACUAUCAGUUUUCUACAGUUUAUAGUUGUAAAAUAGCUCAAAGACAAGGAAAGUUAGUGAAAACUUGGAAGGGUGAACUAGGCAAGACAGACUACAAUCUUUUUUUUCUGGCCCAUUUCAAAGUCUUACACAAUUUUUAUAGACAUUUGCCUGAUUAUAAGUUCAAAGAAGGGAUAAUGGAUAGCUAGUAGAACAUCUCAACAAUGAUCCCUUCCUUACAUCUUAUACAAAAAUUAAUUCAAGAUGGAUUAAAGAUUUAAAUGUAAGACCUAAAACCAUAAAAACCCUAGAAGAAAACCUAGGCAAUACCAUUCAGGACAUAGGCAUGGGCAAAGACUUCAUGUCUAAAACACCAAAAGCAAUGGCAACAAAAGUCAAAAUAGAUAAAUGGGAUCUAAUUAAACUAAAGUGCUUCUGCACAGCAAAAGAAACUAUCAUCAGAGUGAACAGGCAACCAACAGAAUGGGAGAAAAUUUUUGCAAUCUAUUAUUUUGACAAAGGGCUAAUAUCCGGAAUCUACAAGAACUUAAACAAAUUUACAAGAAAAAAACAAACAACUCCAUCAAAAAGUGGGAGAAGGAUAUGAAUAGACACUUCUCUAAAGAAGACACUUAUGCAGCCAACAAACAUGAAAAAAAAGCUCAUCAUCACUGGUCAUUAGAGAAAUGCAAAUCACAACCACAAUGAGAUACCAUCUCACACCAGUUAGAAUGGCGAUCAUUAAAAAGUCAGGAAGCAACAGAUGCUGGAGAGGAUGUGGAAAAAUAGGAACGCUUUUACACUGUUGGUUCGAGUGUAAACUAGUUCAACCAUUUUGGAAGUCAGUGUGGCAAUUCUUCAAGGAUCUGGAACCAGAAAUACCAUUUCACCCAGCAAUCCCAUUACUGGGUAUAUACCCAAAGGAUUAUAAAUCAUUCUGCUGUAAAGACACAUGCACAUGUAUGUUUAUUGUGGCACUGUUCACAAUAGCAAAGACUUGGAACCAACCCAAAUGCCCCUCAGUGAUAAACUGGAUAAAGAAAACAUGGCACAUAUAUACUAUGGAAUACUAUGCAGCCAUAAAAAAGGAUGAAUUCAUGUCCUUUGCAGGGACAUGGAUGGAGCUGAAAAACCGUCAUUCUCAGCAAACUAACACAAGAACAGGAAACCAAACACCGCAUGUUCUCACUCAUAAGUGGGAGUUGAACAAUGAGAACACAUAGACACAGGGAGGGGAACAUCACACACCAGGGCCUGUCGAGGGGUUGGGGGCUAGAGGAGGAAUAGCAUUAGGAGAAAUACCUAAUGUAAAUGACGGGUUGAUGGGUGCAGCAAACCACCAUGGCAUGUGUAUACCUAUGUAACAAACCUGCACGUUCUGUCAGAUUAUUCUUAGCCACUCUCUUGCUACAUUCUCUGUGGUUUUCUUUGUGGUGUAGUAGAAAGGGCACUAGACUUGCUGGUGGAGAUUGUAUUCUCAGAGGUGUGAUUUACCUGUUGAUGCAGGUUUUGUUGAAUUAACUCAAUCUCUCUGAGCCUCAGUACUCUCCCUGGAAAAUGUGGAUAAUUAUUUACUCUGCAAGACUCAUCAUAUCACUGCUUAGCAGAUUCAGUGAGAGGAUGCAUGAUGAUGAACCACAAAGGUAUCCCUCCUUCAGACCCUGCCAAGGAGGUCACAUUCACACAUCACUGUCUGUUCUGCAGCUCCACUUUGAUGUCCUAGGGUCAUCUCAUAACUAACCAGGCCAAAGCUCUGCUGUUUAUUCCCACUUUCAUCCCUCAAAACUUAUUUUGCUUCAUGGCAUCACCAUCCACCCAGUUUCUUAGUCCAAAAACCCAGGGUUCAUUGAGGAUUAACCACUUCCUUUACCCUCACAUCAAAUCUAACACCACACCUUAUUGGCUUUACUUUCAAAGUAUCUUUCUAGUCUCACCAUUCUCACAAUUUCCAAUGUUACCACCCGGGACCAAGCCAAUGCCAGCUAUUCCCUGGACUUUUCCAUGAUUGUCUCUUAAUCUUGAGUUGGCCUUUCUACAACCAGGCUUUCCCACCUAAAUUCCAUUCCUUUCCCCCAAAGCAGCCAGAAUGACCUUUUAACAAAUGUAUAUCAGAGCAUAUCACCCCUCUAUUAAAAAUCUCCCAAUAGAUUCGUAUUGCAUUCAUAAUAAAGACGAGCCGAGAGCAGUGGCUCAUGCCUGUUAUCCCAGCACUUUGGAGACUGAGGCGGGAGGAUCAUGAGGUCAGGAGUUCGAGACCAGCCUGUCCAGCAUGGUGAAACCCUGUCUCUACUAAAAAUACAAAAAAUUAGCUGGGCAUGGUGGUGCAUGCCUGUAGUCCCAGCUACCUGGGAGGCUGAGGCAGGAGAAUCACUUGAACCCAGGAGGCAGAGGUUGCAGUGAGCCGAGAUCAUACCACUGCACUGUAGCCUGGGUAAUAGAGCAAGACUGUCUCAAAAAAAAGAGGUGAAAUUCCCCCACGCCUCAUAUCUUAAAAGGACUACCUCAUGUCCUAAAAGGAUGACAUGUCCUCAUGUCCUAAAACAACUACCUACCGUGCUGUCUAACUCUCUGCCUUUGUGUCUUCGUUUCCCUUUGGCUGCCUGGCUCCAGCCACACUGGCCUUAAUAUUCUGUACUGGGCCAUGCCCCUUCCUGCUGCAGGGACUUUGAAUUUGCUGCGUCCUCUGCUGAGAACAUUCCCUCUGAAGAUUCAGAACGCUUUGUACUGCUCCAACACCAAAUAUUUAAUCGUCAGUCUAAUCUUGGAUAUUUGAAAUCUUCUCCAUACAUAUCAUGAGAUACUCUUUGCAAGAAUAAGCUUUUGUUUCACUACCAAGAGGUGAGUGCAUUUUGAAAUCCACUGGAACCUCACAGGUAUUGAAUCUCUUCUGUGCACAUUUGGAUGUGGAAAAUGGAAACUUGUAAGUCUACGGAAACUAAACCAGAGCAGGUUUUAUAGUUGGGCCUAAAAUACAGUUUCUAGGGUUCACUUUAAAAAUAUUUUCUAUUUUUUCCUGGAUUUUAUUGCAAAUGUUUUGUCGUUGUUUUGAUUUUGUUUUUUGUCUACACCUGGGUUUGAUUCCUCCACUAUUAGGUACUCACUGUGCUGUGAUGGUUUGAAUGCAGGUUUGGCCUCUUCUCCAGGUUGUGACUACCGGGAAGACAGGGCACCUGUCCUAUUCACCUUUGCAUCUCUGGUGUCUCACUCAGGAUAGGGCACAGUGCUUGCCAAGGACCUGCUGCUGGAGCUGAGAACCUAAUGAUCACAGUGUCAGCCUCUGCCAGCCUUUGUGUGUGUGGCAGGGGUGGUUUUGAGUCCCACCGUCUUCCAUCCCUGAUGCUUGGAGAAACUGAGGACACACAGGUUUCCAAGAUAUAAAUUUUGAGACCCAGAAUUUUUAGGAGUAUUUUAAGACUCCAAAGAUAAGAAUCCUUAAGAACUAACUGUGGAAUGAGAAACACUGCCAGUGUGCGUCUAGACCCUUCACCUGGCGCCUGUGGCUGGUCUGUGCUGUAUGGCUUGUUCUGGGUUUCCCCUGCACCUACUGGUGACUGCCAUACAGCUUCAUUCUGUACACGUUUUACCUACGGGAAGCUUGGUUGAACACUGAACAUUUUGCUCUCAAUUCCUAG